RNAcentral lists this ribosomal RNA (253 nucleotides) under uncultured bacterium. Its description in RNAcentral is "partial 16S ribosomal RNA". It matches the Rfam family "Bacterial small subunit ribosomal RNA", at positions 524 to 776 of the family's 1533-position model. The record is from RNAcentral.
UACGAGUGCUCCAAGCGUUAUCCGGAAUUAUUGGGCGUAAAGGGUGUGUAGGCGGUUUUGUUAGUCUUUUGUUAAAGCUCCGGGCUUAACCUGGAAAGUGCAAGAGAAACGGCAAAACUAGAGGAUGCGAGAGGUGAACAGAACUCAUAGUGUAGGGGUGAAAUCCGUUGAUAUUAUGGGGAAUACCAAAUGCGAAGGCAGUUCACUGGCGCACUCCUGACGCUGAAACACGAAAGCGUGGGUAGCGAAUGGG